CAUGUUGUGUGCAGUGCUCCACUUCAGGAAGUGCCAUCCAUGUGGCUAGAAAUAUGAUUGGCACCUCUUAGAGUGAAGUAAUGCACAACAGGUAC
Molecule: microRNA precursor, 95 nt
Organism: Equus asinus (donkey)
Lineage: Eukaryota; Metazoa; Chordata; Mammalia; Perissodactyla; Equidae
Source: Ensembl